RNAcentral lists this ribosomal RNA (497 nucleotides) under uncultured bacterium. RNAcentral's name for it is "partial 16S ribosomal RNA". It matches the Rfam family "Bacterial small subunit ribosomal RNA", at positions 28 to 507 of the family's 1533-position model. The record is from RNAcentral.
GAUGAACGCUGGCGGCGUGCCUAAUACAUGCAAGUCGAGCGAACAGACGAGGAGCUUGCUCCUCUGACGUUAGCGGCGGACGGGUGAGUAACACGUGGAUAACCUACCUAUAAGACUGGGAUAACUUCGGGAAACCGGAGCUAAUACCGGAUAAUAUAUUGAACCGCAUGGUUCAAUAGUGAAAGACGGUUUUGCUGUCACUUAUAGAUGGAUCCGCGCCGCAUUAGCUAGUUGGUAAGGUAACGGCUUACCAAGGCAACGAUGCGUAGCCGACCUGAGAGGGUGAUCGCCCACACUGGAAGUGAGACACGGUCCAGACUCCUACGGGAGGCAGCAGUAGGGAAUCUUCCGCAAUGGGCGAAAGCCUGACGGAGCAACGCCGCGUGAGUGAUGAAGGUCUUCGGAUCGUAAAACUCUGUUAUUAGUGAAGAACAAAUGUGUAAGUAACUAUGCACGUCUUGACGGUACCUAAUCAGAAAGCCACGGCUAACUACGUG